Molecule: long non-coding RNA, 584 nt
Organism: Rhopalosiphum padi (bird cherry-oat aphid)
Lineage: Eukaryota; Metazoa; Arthropoda; Insecta; Hemiptera; Aphididae
Exons: 3
Source: RefSeq, a predicted model, not a curated record
GUGUGAUAAUUUAUUGUAUUUAUGUGACGGAAUUUCGAUUCGCAUUUGUGGAAAAAUGCUAUUAACGUGCGAUAUGCGCAAUAAAACCCCAUUUUUAUAUGUUCUGCAGUUAUAAUUUGACGGGACACGUGCAAGUUUAUUGUACACUACUCACGGACGAAAACGGCCGUGUGCCGAUCGAAAAGAUCCGUUUUUAGACGAAAACGCCUCCGAGGCCGAUGACGGAGGUAUUGGAUGAAAAUUAAUAACAAAAACAAAACGAGAAAAAGAAAACAUGUACGAAAACUUUGGUCCCACGCAUACGAUGAAAAUAUUAAAAGCGUGUUUACGUUUCUCUAGCCAAACAACAAGGGAGACUUCGCUACCACCGUCGUCGACGUCGUCACCACGCAUUGCACCGGAGUAUAUAUAAUAUAAUAUUAAAUAAUAUUAUUAUAUGAACGCGCAUACGGCUUUUGCCCACGCAAUACGUUUGAGAGUCGAUGCGUAUAUUUAUUACGUGCACUAAAACGGUAUACAUAUGUAGUAUGUUAGUAUGUAUAAUAAUAUUAUUACGAUAUAAUAAAUAUUGCGCUUGACUUCGA